RNAcentral lists this ribosomal RNA (427 nucleotides) under uncultured bacterium. RNAcentral describes it as "bacterial SSU rRNA". It matches the Rfam family "Bacterial small subunit ribosomal RNA", at positions 355 to 774 of the family's 1533-position model. The record is from RNAcentral.
UGGGGAAUAUUGGACAAUGGGGGCAACCCUGAUCCAGCAAUGCCGCGUGUGUGAAGAAGGCCUUCGGGUUGUAAAGCACUUUUAUCGGGAACGAAACAUUGUCGGCCAAUACCCGGCAAGACUGACGGUACCCGAGGAAUAAGCACCGGCUAACUCCGUGCCAGCAGCCGCGGUAAUACGGAGGGUGCAAGCGUUAAUCGGAAUUACUGGGCGUAAAGCGUGCGCAGGCGGUUUGUUAAGUCUGCUGUGAAAUCCCCGAGCUCAACUUGGGGAUUGCAGUGGAUACUGGCAAGCUGGAGUACGGUAGAGGAAGGUGGAAUUCCCGGUGUAGCAGUGAAAUGCGUAGAGAUCGGGAGGAACACCAGUGGCGAAGGCGGCCUUCUGGACCAGUACUGACGCUCAUGCACGAAAGCGUGGGGAGCAAACA